Molecule: long non-coding RNA, 594 nt
Filed under: Athene cunicularia (burrowing owl)
Lineage: Eukaryota; Metazoa; Chordata; Aves; Strigiformes; Strigidae
Description: lncRNA (ENSACUG00000008649.1)
Source: RNAcentral
GACUUCUACUGUCUUGGUUUCUAAAAAAAAAGUUUUAUCUUUGCCUGGACUUUAACCAAGUCUUGACUGGUUUAUUUAUUAUUUUUUUUGUAAAGCAGACUGUAUUGAGAAUGUAACCAAAGGUGUGCCUAGAAACAAACUGUACACAUAUUGUGUGUAUUUUGAAACUUACCUCUGAUGAAAGUGUGGUAUGUGCGUUUCUGUUGUUUCCUUCCAUUCUGAACUGCCCUACACCUUGCUGCUACGAAGUGUCAUACAAGCAAAGACUGGCAUUUAUAACAGUCUUAUGGGACUGCGUGCCCUAGAGAAGAAUCUAUGGAAUUUUGUUCCGUUGCCUACUCAGACACACUUGCUGGAGUCAGUUGCAUGUAUCAGACUGAAGUCGGCUAUUAAGUAAAAUCCAUGAGGGAGCUGUCUCCUUCUCACUGGUCCUCAGCAGAUGAACAAUCCCAGGAAGAGUUUUCAGCCUGUGUGCUCUCUAUACCUUGACAAAUCUUGUGUCCUGCUCCCAGAAGUCCAAAGGUGAAAAGUGGUAAGUGUGUGUAUACAUGCAGGGAGGACAAGGAAAGACUCAUCUGCCCUGUUUUACAUUCA